Molecule: ribosomal RNA, 287 nt
Filed under: Clostridioides difficile
Lineage: Bacteria; Bacillati; Bacillota; Clostridia; Peptostreptococcales; Peptostreptococcaceae
Description: partial 23S ribosomal RNA
Rfam family: Bacterial large subunit ribosomal RNA
Source: RNAcentral
CUUUAGGGCUAGCCUCAAGGUGAGAGAUACGGAGGUAGAGCACUGAAUGUCCUAGGGGGUAUUGCACCUACCGAAGACUAUCAAACUCCGAAUGCCGUCAUCUUAUACUUGGGAGUCAGACUGUGGGUGAUAAGAUUCAUAGUCGAAAGGGCAACAGCCCAGAUCGUCAGCUAAGGUCCCUAAAUGUAAGUUAAGUGGUAAAGGAUGUGGGAUUGCACAGACAACCAGGAUGUUGGCUUAGAAGCAGCCACUCAUUCAAAGAGUGCGUAAUAGCUCACUGGUCGAGU